CCUACGGGAGGCAGCAGUGAGGAAUAUUGGACAAUGGGCGCAAGCCUGAUCCAGCCAUGCCGCGUGCAGGAAGACGGUCCUAUGGAUUGUAAACUGCUUUUGUACGGGAAGAAACACUCCUACGUGUAGGAGCUUGACGGUACCGUAAGAAUAAGGAUCGGCUAACUCCGUGCCAGCAGCCGCGGUAAUACGGAGGAUCCAAGCGUUAUCCGGAAUCAUUGGGUUUAAAGGGUCCGUAGGCGGUUUAGUAAGUCAGUGGUGAAAGCCCAUCGCUCAACGAUGGAACGGCCAUUGAUACUGCUAGACUUGAAUUACUAGGAAGUAACUAGAAUAUGUAGUGUAGCGGUGAAAUGCUUAGAUAUUACAUGGAAUACCAAUUGCGAAGGCAGGUUACUACUAGUGGAUUGACGCUGAUGGACGAAAGCGUGGGGAGCGAACAGGAUUAGAUACCCUGGUAGUCCACGCCGUAAACGAUGGAUACUAGCUGUUCGGGGCAACCUGAGUGGCUAAGCGAAAGUGAUAAGUAUCCACCUGGGGAGUACGUUCGCAGAAUGAAACUCAAAGAGUAGUAGACGNGNGAGAGCGACGACGACGACGACGGAGGGAGGAGG
Molecule: ribosomal RNA, 611 nt
Filed under: uncultured bacterium
Lineage: Bacteria
Description: bacterial SSU rRNA
Rfam family: Bacterial small subunit ribosomal RNA
Source: RNAcentral